ACUAAUCCCAACAUAAUUUGAAAUUUGAUUUGAGUCCAGGAUUUUGUCACACACCUGUCAGCGACUACAUAAAUCUCUUCAGGAGACACCAUGGUGCAUGACAGGGCAGAUUGAUGAAUGUGUUUGGCCUCUAAACGUUGAUGCUUGUAUGUUUGCAGCGAGUCCCUCAGUUUGUUGGAGCCAGUCUGGACUUCCAGCAUUCCUCAAACUCAAAACUGCAUGAGGAUUCCUGCUCGGCCUCAGUGAAAUUGUCCACGCGUGCCUCCCGAAUCUGCAGCAGGAUGUUCUUGGCGCGGAUGAAGGAACUGCGGUCACUGAUGUUGUACACGACCACAAAGCCAUCUGCCCAGUCCACCGGCUCCUCAAGUAUGCACCUGGCCUCCGAGCUCUGCUGAUGACAACAUACGAGCUUUUAUCCAGCCUUUAUACUGUAGAUAGAUGGUAGAUAGACAGACCGACAGACAGUCUGACUCAUGGCAAUGAAAGAGCUUAAACAAGUUUAAACAGAAGGAAGAAAUAGUAAUGUUCUUGAGGAGGACUUAAUUGCCAAGGAAGGACAAAAGGUCCAAGGACGUGUCUGAGCCCUUAACCGUGGAUUCCUCAGCACUCACUGUAAAAUCCACUCAUCCUUUGUCUUUAUUGACUCCAUUUUUUUUUAUGCUGUCCAGGUCAAAGGGGCCGGACAGUGACUCUGUGCUUCUUAUGAGAGGGCGGCGUUUAACUGACAAAGACAAUGAUCGGCUUUUAUUCUUUCGAGCCCAGGGGUGUUCAAUAAAAAAAACCCUCUGCAGUAAGAUGUGUCUCAGCUCUUUUUAUGGGAGAUGUAAGCAGGUUAUAAGAGUGUGUGUGUGCGUGUGUAAAGCCAUGGUUCACUUAGGGUUAGUCAUGUCCAUGUACUGCAGCCUCCUUGGUACAGUGACGUGUUUUAUUGUCACAUGUGAUGGAUUCUUUCUCGGAAAAGCAGUUUUUUUCCUCCUGUCGCUGAUGAUUUGUCGCUGUUUUUCGCAACGGUAAUAGCAACACCUGUAAAUGAUGAUCAUCAUAUGUCACACAAAUUGCUGGAAUAUGACAUUUUUUCUUACAUCUGUGUGUACAGCUUGAGCAUAUUACGCUGAAAAGUUAUAAUACCCAUCUGUCUUGGAUUCUCAUUUGUUUAACCUCUUCCUUUUCUGGGUCAUCUGUGCAAUAAUUACAUUUCCCGACACAGCCUGGUGAUAUACAGGGCAUAGCCAAGGAGCUCGAAACAGAAAGGUUUGGAGUUAUUUUCUAAUAAAAAAGCAAAGAAAAUCUACACAUGACUUUUCAACUGUUUGCAUGAGUCAGCCUUAUUUAGAUGUGUUCAGGAUGUGCUGUACCUCAGAGCAAGGGUCAAAAACUUCCAGGUUCAGCUGCCGGCCAUCAAUCGACAGCCUUUUAUGAUACAGUGAAUCUGUGGGGGAGAUUGAAACAGAGGAAAACAAUCAUAUUACAAAGGAAAAUAAUAAAUGUCUCAUAAUCUGCACAAAUAA
Molecule: long non-coding RNA, 1508 nt
Organism: Solea senegalensis (Senegalese sole)
Lineage: Eukaryota; Metazoa; Chordata; Actinopteri; Pleuronectiformes; Soleidae
Exons: 2
Source: RefSeq, a predicted model, not a curated record